Camellia sinensis is the source of this 812-nucleotide long non-coding RNA. RefSeq lists it as uncharacterized. NCBI's taxonomy places the organism in Eukaryota, Viridiplantae, Streptophyta, Magnoliopsida, Ericales, Theaceae. The record is from RefSeq and is a predicted model, not a curated record.
GAACUAAAACCUUAAUUUCACUUAAUUUUGAAAAAUCAUUGACUGCUACUAAUUGUUUGAUUGCUAAUGAAUAGACUAAUGAAUUUAUUGAUUUUGUCUUAUUUUUUGAAUCCCUAAGUGUAACUCCCACAGCUUUCUCCCUCUGUUUCGAUUUCUUUUUGUCUUUUCGACGCUUUGGCGCUGCUCUCGAACUCUCUCUUUAUCGGGUGAAGGAGAUUCCAAGAUUCAAAGUGAAGAACCCUAAUCCCAAGACAACAAUACAAGUUGAAAAUCUUUCUUUGUUAAGUCGACAGCUCCGAGGUGAAGGAGAUUCCAAGAUUCAAAGUGAAGAACCCUAAUCGUGUCGUCUUUCAAUCGCAAUCUGAAUUCUGCAAAGUUUCAAUCAAGCAUUUUUGGUACUGUUGUUCCUGGCAAGCCAUCUUCCUUACAAAAAUGUAUUGCUAGGAGUAUGCAGCCUAUCAAAGCAACUGCAAUGCCUCCUACAGUUGUUCUUCAACCAACAUCUCGUACUAUUCUUUGUUUCAGUUGUUUAUUGACUAUGUUUUGGUCGGAUUUGACGAUUGGUAUUACGGAUAGCAACAUCUAGGGAUGACAUGAAUGUUGUGGCUGUCAAUGAUCCCUUUGUUGAUGCAUGGAAAGAAGUUGUGCUUUGCUUCUAUUUUCUUUGGGUUCCUCCCCAGACAUCUUGAAUUGUUUUACACGUAAUGUAUUUUCAAUAGUAACAUAAUCUCCUUCCAGUUGUUGGGCUGUAAGCUGAACUUAGCAGUUAUUGGCAAGCUCAAGUUGCUAAAAGAUAAUUGUAGUUCAUUUGA